CACGUAGGGGGCAAGCGUUGUCCGGAUUUAUUGGGCGUAAAGAGCUCGUAGGCGGCUCAGUAAGUCAGGUGUGAAACCUCCAGGCUCAACCUGGAGACGCCACCUGAUACUGCUGUGGCUAGAGUCCGGUAGGGGAGCGUGGAAUUCCUGGUGUAGCGGUGAAAUGCGCAGAUAUCAGGAGGAACACCGAUGGCGAAGGCAGGUCUCUGGGCUGACACUGACGCUCAUGCACGAAAGCGUGGGGAGCAAACAGG
This 254-nucleotide ribosomal RNA is filed under the name uncultured bacterium. Its description in RNAcentral is "partial 16S ribosomal RNA". It matches the Rfam family "Bacterial small subunit ribosomal RNA", at positions 524 to 776 of the family's 1533-position model. The record is from RNAcentral.